CGGAUUGUAGGCUGAAACUCGCCUACAUGAAGCUGGAGUUACUAGUAAUCGCAGAUCAGAAUGCUGCGGUGAAUGCGUUCCCGGGUCUUGUACACACCGCCCGUCACACCACGGGAGUUGGAGACGCCCGAAGCCGAUUAUCUAACCUUUUGGAAGAAGUCGUCGAAGGUGGAAUCAAUAACUGGGGUGAAGUCGUAACAAGGUAGCCGUAUCGGAAGGUGCGGCUGGAUC
Molecule: ribosomal RNA, 231 nt
Filed under: Clostridioides difficile
Lineage: Bacteria; Bacillati; Bacillota; Clostridia; Peptostreptococcales; Peptostreptococcaceae
Description: partial 16S ribosomal RNA
Rfam family: Bacterial small subunit ribosomal RNA
Source: RNAcentral